GCCCCCAUAAUUAAGCAGGAUAUAAUACUCCCCUCCUAAGGGAGAUUCACUGGUUCGAGUCCGGUUGGGGGUGCCA
RNAcentral lists this transfer RNA (76 nucleotides) under Lagierella massiliensis. Its description in RNAcentral is "tRNA-Arg". It matches the Rfam family "tRNA". Rfam says of the family: Transfer RNA (tRNA) molecules are approximately 80 nucleotides in length. The record is from RNAcentral. Lineage: Bacteria; Bacillati; Bacillota; Tissierellia; Tissierellales; Peptoniphilaceae.